This 209-nucleotide non-coding RNA is filed under the name Selaginella moellendorffii. RNAcentral describes it as "rRNA LSU_rRNA_eukarya". It matches the Rfam family "Eukaryotic large subunit ribosomal RNA", at positions 1171 to 1379 of the family's 3401-position model. Lineage: Eukaryota; Viridiplantae; Streptophyta; Lycopodiopsida; Selaginellales; Selaginellaceae. The record is from Rfam by way of RNAcentral.
AAAGCCGGGCUAUGGUGCCAAAGUGCGCGCUAACCCAGAUCCCACAAAGGGUGUUGAUUGAUUAAGACAGCAGGACGGUGGUCAUGGAAGUCAAAAUCCGCUAAGGAGUGUGUAACAACUCACCUGCCGAAUCAACUAGCCCCGAAAAUGGAUGGCGCUUAAGCGCGCGGCCUAUGCCCGGCCAUCGCGGCGAUUGCGAGGCCCCGAUG